CCGCCAUUUCCCGUUGAUGAUCUUCACCGGUUGUCGUCGGGGCAUGGCAAUUUUACUUUGAAAAAAUUAGAGUGCUCAAAGCAUGCGUGACGCAUGAAUACUUGUGCAUGGAAUAAUGGAAUAGGACCUCGGUUCUAUUUUGUUGGUUUUCGGAACACGAGGUAAUGAUUAAGAGGGACAGACGGGGGCAUUCGUAUUGCGACGCUAGAGGUGAAAUUCUUGGACCGUCGCAAGACGAACUACUGCGAAAGCAUUUGCCAAGAAUGUUUCCAUUAAUCAAGAACGAAAGUUAGAGGUUCGAAGGCGAUCAGAUACCGCCCUAGUUCUAACCAUAAACGAUGCCAGCCAGCGAUCCGGCUGUGUUCCUCAAAUGACACGCCGGGCAGCUUCCGGGAAACCAAAGCUUUUGGGUUCCGGGGGAAGUAUGGUUGCAAAGCUGAAACUUAAAGGAAUUGACGGAAGCGCACCACCAGGAAUGGAGCCUGCGGCUUAAUUUGACUCAACACGGGAAAACUUACCCGGAUAGGACACAGGAAGGAUUGACAGAUUAAGAGCUCUUUCUUGAUUCUGUGGAAGGUGGUGCAUGGCCAUUCUUAGUUGGUGGAGUGAUUUGUCUGGUUAAUUCCGAUAACGAUCGAGACUCUAGCCUACUAAAUAGACGUUCCGAUCCUUGUUGUCGGACGUUCUUCUUAGAGGGACACGCGGCGUCUAGCCGCACGAGACAGAGCAAUAGUAGGUCUGUGAUGCCCUUAGAUGUCCGGGGCCGCACGCGCGCUACAUUGAAGAAAUCAGCGUGUGCUUUCCCUGCCUGACAAGGCUGGGUAAUCCGUUGAACUUUCUUCGUGCUUGGGAUAGGCUUAUGCAAUUACAGCCUUGAACGAGGAAUUCCCAGUAAGCACGAGUCAUCAGCUCGUGUUGAUUACGUCCCUGCGCUUUGUGCACACCGCCCGUCGCUACAUCCGAUGGAAUGAUUUAGU
Molecule: ribosomal RNA, 977 nt
Filed under: Anelosimus nigrescens
Lineage: Eukaryota; Metazoa; Arthropoda; Arachnida; Araneae; Theridiidae
Description: SSU rRNA
Rfam family: Eukaryotic small subunit ribosomal RNA
Source: RNAcentral